GUGAAGAACGCAGUGAAAUGCGAUAAGUAGUGUGAAUUGCAGAAUUCAGUGAAUCAUCGAAUCUUUGAACGCACAUUGCGCCCGCUAGUAUUCUGGCGGGCAUGCCUGUUCGAGCGUCAUUUCAACCAUCAAGCCCUGUUUAGGCUUGUGUUGGGGCCCUGCGGUUGCCGCAGCCCCCUAAAUGCAGUGGCGGGCUCGUUGUCACUCCGAGCGCAGUAGCGUAUCUCGCUCUGGGCGUGGCGGCGGGUGCUAGCCGUGAAACACCCACUAAGGUUGACCUCGGAUCAGGUAGGAAUACCCGCUGAACUUAAGCAUAUCAAUAAGCGGAGGA
This 331-nucleotide unclassified non-coding RNA is filed under the name soil metagenome. RNAcentral describes it as "partial contains 5.8S ribosomal RNA, internal transcribed spacer 2, and large subunit ribosomal RNA". The stretch from base 2 to 119 matches the Rfam family "5.8S ribosomal RNA", at positions 37 to 154 of the family's 154-position model. The record is from RNAcentral.